This 220-nucleotide long non-coding RNA is filed under the name Dermacentor andersoni. RNAcentral's name for it is "uncharacterized LOC126535585". Lineage: Eukaryota; Metazoa; Arthropoda; Arachnida; Ixodida; Ixodidae. The record is from RNAcentral.
CGCAUGGCACCGCAAAGCGGUCUGCAAAGGAGCCACUGCACUCGUGGAACUUUCCACAGCGCUCUGCAAAUAAUGCAAGAAUGCAUGGUAGUCCUGAGUGUUCUGCAAGGGAGCCACUGCAGCAGAGCUUUCCACGGCGUCCUGAAUAUGAUGACAACGCUCAGAGUGACUUGCCAGGCUUAUGGCCGUGCGUUAGUCGAAUGGCGACACCAAGCUCAGG